AGAUUAAGUUAUUAAGGGCGCACGGUGGAUGCCUUGGCACUAGAAGCCGAUGAAGGACGUUACUAACGACGAUAUGCUUUGGGGAGCUGUAAGUAAGCUUUGAUCCAGAGAUUUCCGAAUGGGGAAACCCAGCAUGAGUUAUGUCAUGUUAUCGAUAUGUGAAUACAUAGCAUAUCAGAAGGCACACCCGGAGAACUGAAACAUCUUAGUACCCGGAGGAAGAGAAAGAAAAUUCGAUUCCCUUAGUAGCGGCGAGCGAAACGGGAAGAGCCCAAACCAACAAGCUUGCUUGUUGGGGUUGUAGGACACUCUAUACGGAGUUACAAAGGACGACAUUAGACGAAUCAUCUGGAAAGAUGAAUCAAAGAAGGUAAUAAUCCUGUAGUCGAAAAUGUUGUCUCUCUUGAGUGGAUCCUGAGUACGACGGAGCACGUGAAAUUCCGUCGGAAUCUGGGAGGACCAUCUCCUAAGGCUAAAUACUCUCUAGUGACCGAUAGUGAACCAGUACCGUGAGGGAAAGGUGAAAAGCACCCCGGAAGGGGAGUGAAAUAGAACCUGAAACCGUGUGCUUACAAGUAGUCAGAGCCCGUUAAUGGGUGAUGGCGUGCCUUUUGUAGAAUGAACCGGCGAGUUACGAUUUGAUGCAAGGUUAAGCAGUAAAUGUGGAGCCGUAGCGAAAGCGAGUCUGAAUAGGGCGUUUAGUAUUUGGUCGUAGACCCGAAACCAGGUGAUCUACCCUUGGUCAGGUUGAAGUUCAGGUAACACUGAAUGGAGGACCGAACCGACUUACGUUGAAAAGUGAGCGGAUGAACUGAGGGUAGCGGAGAAAUUCCAAUCGAACCUGGAGAUAGCUGGUUCUCUCCGAAAUAGCUUUAGGGCUAGCCUCAAGUGAUGAUUAUUGGAGGUAGAGCACUGUUUGGACGAGGGGCCCCUCUCGGGUUACCGAAUUCAGACAAACUCCGAAUGCCAAUUAAUUUAACUUGGGAGUCAGAACAUGGGUGAUAAGGUCCGUGUUCGAAAGGGAAACAGCCCAGACCACCAGCUAAGGUCCCAAAAUAUAUGUUAAGUGGAAAAGGAUGUGGCGUUGCCCAGACAACUAGGAUGUUGGCUUAGAAGCAGCCAUCAUUUAAAGAGUGCGUAAUAGCUCACUAGUCGAGUGACACUGCGCCGAAAAUGUACCGGGGCUAAACAUAUUACCGAAGCUGUGGAUUGUCCUUUGGACAAUGGUAGGAGAGCGUUCUAAGGGCGUUGAAGCAUGAUCGUAAGGACAUGUGGAGCGCUUAGAAGUGAGAAUGCCGGUGUGAGUAGCGAAAGACGGGUGAGAAUCCCGUCCACCGAUUGACUAAGGUUUCCAGAGGAAGGCUCGUCCGCUCUGGGUUAGUCGGGUCCUAAGCUGAGGCCGACAGGCGUAGGCGAUGGAUAACAGGUUGAUAUUCCUGUACCACCUAUAAUCGUUUUAAUCGAUGGGGGGACGCAGUAGGAUAGGCGAAGCGUGCGAUUGGAUUGCACGUCUAAGCAGUAAGGCUGAGUAUUAGGCAAAUCCGGUACUCGUUAAGGCUGAGCUGUGAUGGGGAGAAGACAUUGUGUCUUCGAGUCGUUGAUUUCACACUGCCGAGAAAAGCCUCUAGAUAGAAAAUAGGUGCCCGUACCGCAAACCGACACAGGUAGUCAAGAUGAGAAUUCUAAGGUGAGCGAGCGAACUCUCGUUAAGGAACUCGGCAAAAUGACCCCGUAACUUCGGGAGAAGGGGUGCUCUUUAGGGUUAACGCCCAGAAGAGCCGCAGUGAAUAGGCCCAAGCGACUGUUUAUCAAAAACACAGGUCUCUGCUAAACCGUAAGGUGAUGUAUAGGGGCUGACGCCUGCCCGGUGCUGGAAGGUUAAGAGGAGUGGUUAGCUUCUGCGAAGCUACGAAUCGAAGCCCCAGUAAACGGCGGCCGUAACUAUAACGGUCCUAAGGUAGCGAAAUUCCUUGUCGGGUAAGUUCCGACCCGCACGAAAGGCGUAACGAUUUGGGCACUGUCUCAACGAGAGACUCGGUGAAAUCAUAGUACCUGUGAAGAUGCAGGUUACCCGCGACAGGACGGAAAGACCCCGUGGAGCUUUACUGUAGCCUGAUAUUGAAAUUCGGCACAGCUUGUACAGGAUAGGUAGGAGCCUUUGAAACGUGAGCGCUAGCUUACGUGGAGGCGCUGGUGGGAUACUACCCUAGCUGUGUUGGCUUUCUAACCCGCACCACUUAUCGUGGUGGGAGACAGUGUCAGGCGGGCAGUUUGACUGGGGCGGUCGCCUCCUAAAAGGUAACGGAGGCGCUCAAAGGUUCCCUCAGAAUGGUUGGAAAUCAUUCAUAGAGUGUAAAGGCAUAAGGGAGCUUGACUGCGAGACCUACAAGUCGAGCAGGGUCGAAAGACGGACUUAGUGAUCCGGUGGUUCCGCAUGGAAGGGCCAUCGCUCAACGGAUAAAAGCUACCCCGGGGAUAACAGGCUUAUCUCCCCCAAGAGUUCACAUCGACGGGGAGGUUUGGCACCUCGAUGUCGGCUCAUCGCAUCCUGGGGCUGUAGUCGGUCCCAAGGGUUGGGCUGUUCGCCCAUUAAAGCGGUACGCGAGCUGGGUUCAGAACG
RNAcentral lists this ribosomal RNA (2620 nucleotides) under Staphylococcus aureus. Its description in RNAcentral is "partial 23S ribosomal RNA". It matches the Rfam family "Bacterial large subunit ribosomal RNA", at positions 1 to 2618 of the family's 2925-position model. Lineage: Bacteria; Bacillati; Bacillota; Bacilli; Caryophanales; Staphylococcaceae. The record is from RNAcentral.